This is a long non-coding RNA of Carcharodon carcharias (great white shark), 736 nucleotides long. RefSeq lists it as uncharacterized. The record is from RefSeq and is a predicted model, not a curated record. The transcript is spliced from 2 exons. NCBI's taxonomy places the organism in Eukaryota, Metazoa, Chordata, Chondrichthyes, Lamniformes, Lamnidae.
ACCAGCUGGAAAGGAAACCCUGCACAGUCAGGAAAUGAGAUUGGACAUACCUAAGACUUUGCAAUGAAAUACAUUUGGAAAUGGAUUUUUAUUUCUUAAGGGUGGAAGCAUGUUAACAAUCCAUAUUGUCAAGAGCUUUUUGUGUUUUUAAAAAUUGGAAGGACUUUGGAAAAUCAGAAUCUGACCUGGAGUUUUUUUAAAAGGGUUAUAAGUUCACCUGAGCUGUGAGCAACUUGCCUUUUCCAAGAAAUCACAUGCCUUCAGCUUACUGUCCAGCAAAGCACUUGAGGAGAUGAGAGUUAUUUGCUUAUUUGAACUUUAAUUACUUUAAACGCUGGAGAAAAAAAACUUUUUUUAAAGGCAGAGGCCCUGGAUUUUCUGGGAAUCACCAGACUGAAAUGAAUUCUAUGCUUUGAACUCGUUUUCUUGACUCAGUUUUUGGGGAAUAAGCUGAGAAGGAAGGCUGUGCUAACUCACUCUCUCCCUGCCUUGCCUGAAAUUCCAUGUGUGGUUAUCAACCUCCAGCCAGAGAAUCCUCAUUUCGUUAUAACACGUCUGGAUUUGGAAACCUGUAAAGCUGAGAUGAGGGAGAGAUCCCAAUGAUUGACCUGGCUCCUUUGAAAAGAAAAUCCAGACAACUGUGACCCAGCAAUCAGUCUCCAGUAGGAACAUUAGAUGGACAAUGUCAAAACCCUUCAAACUUUGUCCUUUUCCAUAAAAUUUUCCAAUUGACGAA